Molecule: long non-coding RNA, 945 nt
Organism: Xenopus laevis (African clawed frog)
Lineage: Eukaryota; Metazoa; Chordata; Amphibia; Anura; Pipidae
Exons: 5
Source: RefSeq, a predicted model, not a curated record
AAAAAGCAGCUAUUUUAAGGUAAUUACUAAGUUGUCACUAGUGUUAAGAAAAGUACAUUUAGGGUGCAAUUUUAGUGUGUAACCAACAGAGGGAGCAAAAGAGAAAGGGUGCAAUUUUAUUGUGUGGCCACCAGAGGGAGCAAAAGAGACAGGGAAACGCCCCAGAAAUCCUUCCAGAGGGGUGCGGCCCAAGGCUAUAAAAGGAGGGUGGGACCGAGGCCUGUGUUUAGAAUAGGAAAGAAGCCGACAGAAGUGCGCCACCUAGAAGACACCACCUGCAAACAAAUACAAUGGGCCAAAUCUACUGCUAAAAUAUAUAAAAGAUUUCACCUAGUCCAUAUACUGUAGCUGUGGAUGAACGGAGCUCUCCAUAUUAUGCUUUACGAGAUCGCCAAGGUAAUGCCAUCGUGGUCGCUGCCUGUGAUAUUGAUGGAAGUACCUGAAUUGACCUACCAUGUGGGGAGGUCUUCAAAGCCGCAAAAAGAGCUGAAGUCACGAAAAGACCCGAAGUUGAAGUCCUGAAGCCUUGAAAGGACCCAAAGCCAGGAAAGGAAGCGGCUGGGAGGAUUAUCUGCAAAGCUUCUGGAUAAUUUUUGGAGCAGCUGGAUUAUCUUCAAAACAAUUGGGAGGAUUAUCUUCAGAGAUGCAGGGAGGAUUAUUUUCCGAGCGGAUGGGAAAAAUUGUAUUCAGAAGGACUAAGAUGAUUCUCUGCAGAGCGUCUGGGAGGAGUGGUUGGAUUAUCUUCAGAAUGGUUGGAUUAUCUUCAGAGCGGCUAGGAGCAUUACUUUAAGAACAGCUGGAUUACCUUCAGAGCAGCUGGAUUAUCUUCAAUGGAUUAUCUGCAGAAAGAGCGCCACUGCCAACAUGCUGUUUUGACUGCAGAGGAAUAUGCAAAUAAGAAGCUGAAGAAAAGAGAAGGAUAUAGCAGAAGGGAUAGAAGAGAGA